UGUCUCUCUCUCUGUCUCUCUCUCUCUGUAUCUCUCUGUCUCUGUCUCUCUCUCUGUCCCUCUCUCUGUCUCUCUCUGUCUCUCUCUCUGUGUCUCUCUGUCUCCCUCUCUGUCUCUCUCUGUCUCUCUCUCUCUGUCUCCCUCUCUGUCUCUCUCUGUCUCUCUCCUUCUCUGUCUCUGCCUCUCCACCCUCCUUUCCUGGCCCCCUCCCCACCAGGGCCGUCUCUCUAGCACUUAGCUGUCGGGGGGGUUUCAGGCUGGCGAAGGAGGGUAGCAGGAUGCCUGGGUGAAGGCUUGGGCUCGCUUGUCUCUUUCUGACUCAGCAGGGAGCAGCCUCACAGGCUGUGGGGCUCAGUGACUGAUAACGAGAAUCUGCC
This 377-nucleotide long non-coding RNA is filed under the name Monodelphis domestica (gray short-tailed opossum). Its description in RNAcentral is "lncRNA (ENSMODG00000050957.1)". The record is from RNAcentral. Lineage: Eukaryota; Metazoa; Chordata; Mammalia; Didelphimorphia; Didelphidae.